RNAcentral lists this non-coding RNA (787 nucleotides) under Stylochus stellae. Its description in RNAcentral is "12S ribosomal RNA". The stretch from base 366 to 780 matches the Rfam family "Microsporidia small subunit ribosomal RNA", at positions 752 to 1304 of the family's 1311-position model. The record is from RNAcentral. Lineage: Eukaryota; Metazoa; Platyhelminthes; Polycladida; Stylochidae.
UAUUAAUUUGGUUUUGGUUAGAUGAAGAAUAAGCACUAAAACUAUCAUAAAAAUAUUAAAGAAUCUUCUUCUUUUUCAUUAGAGAUUAUUAAUUUAGUGGUGGGUUUUUCUAAAUAAAAAUGAAAGUUUGUUUAAGUUAGUGUUGAGGAGGGGCUAACAAUAGGUGCCAGCAGCUGCGGUUAUACCUAUUCUUAUCUUCAUGUUUGGGUAAAAUACAAGUUGUUAUUUUGUUAAAAAUUAGUUUAUUCCGGUUAAAUGGUUUAUAAACUUCUAAUGUUCGAAAAUCAAAUAAGUAAAUUGUCAAAGUUAUUAUAAAAACCGAGAUUAGGUACCUCGUUAUUAAUAAAUGUAAAUAAUAAAACCCAGAGGAGUAAGGAGCCUGAAACUCAAAAGACCUGGCGGUGGAUGUUCUUCCUACCAGAGGAGGGUGCCAAGUAAUAGAUAAUCCGCAUAAAAAUAAACCCUUUUAAUUAAAAUCAGUGUACGGCCGCUUACAGAUAAUUUUUAUAGAAAUAAGAAAUUAUCUUAAUACUCUAAUAAUUAAAACUAGUUAAGACAGGUCAAUGUGCUGUUGAUAAAGGGGGUUAAAGGUGCGCUAUUAUAACAUAGGAUAAAAGCUUUCAAGAUGUAAAUUUUGAAUCAAUUAAGAUUUGGUAGUAACGAAAAGUAAUAAAUAUGUACGCGUGAAUUAAGGUAAAGCUCUGUGUACACAUCGCCCGUCGUUCUUUUUGAAAGAAAAGAGAAGUCGUAACAUGGUAGCCUUAAUAGAAAUUGUGGCUUAAAAGGU